Molecule: long non-coding RNA, 1408 nt
Filed under: Saimiri boliviensis boliviensis (Bolivian squirrel monkey)
Lineage: Eukaryota; Metazoa; Chordata; Mammalia; Primates; Cebidae
Description: lncRNA (ENSSBOG00000036452.1)
Source: RNAcentral
UUUUCCAGAUCGAUUCUGUUAAAGUUUAUGCAGAAAAAAAAAAGAAGGAAAAAAGAAAGAAAAGAGAAAGAAGAAAACCAACAACUCUGUUUCUAAGAUUUUAAAGCGAUAGACAAGUCGAAGCAGCAGAGAUUUAUUUGGAGAGAAAGCUCCUGAAACCGACUCAGCCUUUUGGAAGACCAGCCCGCCCACCUGGAAGUUAGGACUGUUGAUUCCUUCAAUUAAUGAAGUGCAUUUGGUGUUGUUAAUCGUAUUUAUUUUACUUUAUGAGAGUGGGGGAGACGCUAGGAGGGUGCCUUAAAAAAAAAAAAAUUCCGAAAAGCCUGCAAAAGGAUCGAAGAGUGCGAACUAUGGUUGGAGCGAGUUGGUUUCUACCUCAACAGCGCCACCUUUCGGCAAAGAAGAGAUAUAAAAAAUCAGAUGUUUUCUUCAAUGAGAAUUCUGGGAAGGUGUACCAGACUUCUUCUCUUUCUUCACCCGACAAAGACACCCAACACAGCCUCGCAGAUCGGAGGUGUUUAAUACAUCGUUUUAUGCACACACGAACGUGUGGGUUUUAGACAAUAGACAGAGCUAUAAAAUCACCAUGGGGCCUGUUUUCCCCAUUCUUGUCAUUUUAAAUCAACAGAUUUCCCGGGUUUCUCCUCCCCACCGCCCCCACUUUCCUUUUCCAGGGCACAGGUAUUCCUUCGAUUUUUCUUUUCCUUCAGUGAGGGUCUCCUUUGUGAAGCCUUCUUCCACAGUCAUCCUUUUUCAUCCUAUUCACAGCCCAUACUGGUGAGGGAAUUUGUCUCAAAAGCAUUCAGCCCUUCAAAGAUUUUUAUUGUGGUGAACUCAGAACUGAUUAACAGAAAAACAGGAAUAGAAAAAGGGACCUGAUGUGGGGACGAUCCUUCUGUGGGUUGCGUCUUUUAUGCAUGAUAACUCAGAGGACAGGCUCCUCGUCCGUCUGUGAUGUGGUAAUGCUAGCUCUGACCCUCCUUCCUAGCCCUGGGGGUGGGGUGAGUCAUCGCUCCUGUUCCAAAGGCAUGUAGCAGCCAUUCGACCCAGGAAAGAAAUGGAGUUUUAGAAAAUCCAGACCCAACACAGAGACUCCUGUGAUUACCAGGAUGAGCACGGCAACGCAGGUGGCUUCUGAAUUUCUGUUUCUGAGUUUGUUUGGCUGAGGGCCCUGAGCAAAGGGCAUCCCUUAUGGCCCUGUUUUGUACCUUAGUUCUUGGUGGCAUCAUGGGUGUUGCUGAUCUCUCUGAUGUGUUUUUCUGUGCAUCGAAAGCACCGGACAUGCCAGGUGACAUCCUAGCAGCAUCCCCCACCAUGAUGGAGUGUCCCUGGUCUGACAAAGAAUGGAAAACUGGGCUAACCUCCCCAUCCACCCAAAAUAAAAUUAGAGUAAAAUUUAUAAACCUGC